Non-coding RNA from Mycena capillaripes, 92 nucleotides. The record is from the annotation of a GenBank genome assembly. Lineage: Eukaryota; Fungi; Basidiomycota; Agaricomycetes; Agaricales; Mycenaceae.
GCUGCUGUAGCUCAAAUGGGAGAGCUUCCUCUCCUUAUUCAUCAUGGAGGAGGAGUCUGAGGAUGAUGUGGGUUCGAUUCCUGCCAGCAGCA